GAUGAAGAACGUAGCGAAAUGCGAUAAGUAAUGUGAAUUGCAGAAUUCAGUGAAUCAUCGAAUCUUUGAACGCACAUUGCGCCCGCCAGUAUUCUGGCGGGCAUGCCUGUCUGAGCGUCGUUUCGACCCUCGCGCCCGGCUUCUGUCGGGGGCGGUGUUGGGGAUCGGCCACACCCUUCAGUGGGAGGCCGGCCCCUAAAUUCAGUGGCGACCACGCUGUAGCCUCCCCUGCGUAGUACUAAAACCACCUCGCAGGCGGAGAGCGGUGCGGCCCGCCGUAAAACCCCCCAACUUUUACAAGGUCGACCUCAGAUCAGGUAGGAAUACCCGCUGAACUUAAGCAUAUCAAUAAGCGGAGGA
This 360-nucleotide unclassified non-coding RNA is filed under the name soil metagenome. RNAcentral's name for it is "partial contains 5.8S ribosomal RNA, internal transcribed spacer 2, and large subunit ribosomal RNA". The stretch from base 1 to 120 matches the Rfam family "5.8S ribosomal RNA", at positions 35 to 154 of the family's 154-position model. The record is from RNAcentral.